Molecule: long non-coding RNA, 1737 nt
Organism: Alnus glutinosa
Lineage: Eukaryota; Viridiplantae; Streptophyta; Magnoliopsida; Fagales; Betulaceae
Exons: 3
Source: RefSeq, a predicted model, not a curated record
GAGUCUUUCAUUCUCUACUCGCUUUUUUUUUCAUAUUAUCCAGCUCUUGUAAUCUGUUCCACUCUUGUUCUCCUGCUCUAAUUCCUGUAAGUGUAUUCUGCAGACAUAAUAAUACAUUUGCAAUUGCCAAAAUUGUUGUUCCAUAAUCUGCUUUGCGCUCAAAUUUCGUGCUUACUCUUGAAAUUUUUUCACAAUGUUUAAAUCUAAAUCUUCCGUGGGCUCUAGAUCUACUUUUUCUGUCGAAGAUAAUAUUUCUGUUAAUUCUGAUAAAUGGAAAAUCCCUAAGCUCUCCACUAAGGAUAUUUAUACUACUUCUUGGUUAAAAAGUGUUUUUAACGCUGAACAUGCUAUUAAAACUGUUGAACGAACUUUUGCUAUAUUUAGUAAUAAUGAAAAAUAUGAAUUAAUUGAUAAAAAGAUUAUUAAUGAUGCUUUGGUUAAAGGCUAUAAGUUUUUGCAUAUUGGAGCUAUUCAAGUUGCUGUUAAACCACUAGCUAGGCUAGGUACUAAUGCUUCCGUUUCGCUUUGUCUACGCGAUGCUAGAUUUAUUGAUUUCAAGACUAGUAUUAUUGGUAUGAUACAAUCUUCUUUGUUUAAUCGACGAAUCCAUCUUAAUAUUUUCCCCAACUUUUCUCUUUCUUUGACUAAUGUUCAUAUUACUAAAGCAUUGACUUUAAAUGUUUUGACUUUUGGUUAUGAUAUGGUAGAAGGUAGUGGACCUGUUGCUAUCAGCUACCGGGUUUAUUACAAAUUGCUAAAAGACGAUCUAAAUCCUCAAGCUGUUAUCAAAAAUUCUGGGGACUAUGCUAUGUUAAUUGAAAGUUCUACACAAGAUGCUAACAUAUAUAUUCCUAAAAUGAUGGGAGGUAAUGAAAUUGACCUCCCUAAUGAGUGGCUUUUAGAAAAUGUUUCCGAGCCUACUACAGUAGUAAAUGAAACAACUAAUCAUGACUGCGAUAUCCAACAAAAUUUAGAUGGAACUGUUAAAAUUAGGUUUUUCUAAUUUAAAUUCUUUCUAAUUGAAGAGAAAGAUCAUUAAAUAUUAAUUAAGGAUGUAAAUUCGGACCGAUUAUAACUUGAUCGGUGUUCGGAGCGUAACCAGUUCCGGGUCUAUUAAAAAAAAAUUACCUCCAACCCUUUUAUCUUACUUGGGCUAUCAUGGGGACCUUUCCGUUUUUUUACACUUUUGCCCUAAAAUCCUGAUUUCUCUACAAUGCAUUUCGUUCUUUUAUUUUCACUUUUGCCUUUUGCGCCGCUGCCUUCUUCAAAUCUUCUUGUCUUCUCGCCAUUCUUGAAUCUUCACGCCAUUUUUCACGCUUGCCUUCUUCUCCUUGAAUCUUCAUUCUUUUCCUCUGUUUUUUUGUUUGCUUUUGCUUUUGCUUUCCUUCACAACACACACGGACCGAGAUCGAGAGAGACCUGAGAAAGUUGCUGCUGCUACCGUUACUGUCAAAGAAGUGAAGAACUCAAGAGAGAGCAAGAGUUCUGGAUUAAGAUUUGGUGAUUUCUAAAGCAGAUGGAGCAAAGGAAGUAGACUGUUAGUUAUAGAUGAUUGAGAGCAGACUUGCUGAAAGCUAGAAAUCGGACCAUGCUUGGAUAUGUUUUUGAACUUUUGGUUAUUAAUUUUUUUAAUGUGUAUGGAUUUUUGGGUUUUUAAUAUUUAAUUAUGUAUGGAUGUGGAAUUUCCUUGAGGGCAUGAUAGUUCAUACACGUGAUUAAUAAUUUUGAUUCAUACAA